GGGACACGUGGUAUCCUGUCUGAAUAUGGGGGGACCAUCCUCCAAGGCUAAAUACUCCUGACUGACCGAUAGUGAACCAGUACCGUGAGGGAAAGGCGAAAAGAACCCCGGCGAGGGGAGUGAAAAAGAACCUGAAACCGUGUACGUACAAGCAGUGGGAGCACCUUCGGGUGUGACUGCGUACCUUUUGUAUAAUGGGUCAGCGACUUAUAUUCUGUAGCAAGGUUAACCGUAUAGGGGAGCCGCAGGGAAACCGAGUCUUAACUGGGCGUUAAGUUGCAGGGUAUAGACCCGAAACCCGGUGAUCUAGCCAUGGGCAGGUUGAAGGUUGGGUAACACUAACUGGAGGACCGAACCGACUAAUGUUGAAAAAUUAGCGGAUGACUUGUGGCUGGGGGUGAAAGGCCAAUCAAACCGGGAGAUAGCUGGUUCUCCCCGAAAGCUAUUUAGGUAGCGCCUCGUGAACUCAUCUUCGGGGGUAGAGCACUGUUUCG
RNAcentral lists this ribosomal RNA (494 nucleotides) under Klebsiella pneumoniae. Its description in RNAcentral is "partial 23S ribosomal RNA". It matches the Rfam family "Bacterial large subunit ribosomal RNA", at positions 419 to 917 of the family's 2925-position model. The record is from RNAcentral. Lineage: Bacteria; Pseudomonadati; Pseudomonadota; Gammaproteobacteria; Enterobacterales; Enterobacteriaceae.